This is a non-coding RNA of Triticum aestivum (bread wheat), 135 nucleotides long. NCBI's taxonomy places the organism in Eukaryota, Viridiplantae, Streptophyta, Magnoliopsida, Poales, Poaceae. The record is from Rfam.
AUAGUACUUUUUUUGUUCUAAAAUUUUUGUCUUAAAUUUGUCUAGAUACGGAUGUAUAUAACACUAAAACGUAACUAGAUACAUUUGCGUUUACACAAAUGUAAGACAAAAAAUUUGGGACGAAUGAAGUAGUAC